Molecule: long non-coding RNA, 286 nt
Organism: Penaeus chinensis
Lineage: Eukaryota; Metazoa; Arthropoda; Malacostraca; Decapoda; Penaeidae
Exons: 2
Source: RefSeq, a predicted model, not a curated record
AAUUUAAUCUUAUCAAACACUAAGGUGUUACUGAAGGUGUGAAAGCAUGUUACGUCACAUAACUCGUGUGCGUUUAUCCACAUUCAGUAAGGAACAGAAAAAAUCUGAAAAUGCGGAAUAAUUAAAACUGCUGCCGAAUCUAAUGUUAUCUGUCGUAGUAAUUCUGCUGAAAAUAUGUGAACAGUGAUAUUAUAAUGAAUAUUACUCGAGAGAGGGAGAGAAAACUGGUGUUUGUUUGUCGUGUAAGAAACAGAAAUCUAUUCGCCUUCGAUAUUUGAAAAUCAAC